Molecule: transfer RNA, 68 nt
Filed under: Loxosomella aloxiata
Lineage: Eukaryota; Metazoa; Entoprocta; Loxosomatidae
Description: tRNA-S(UGA)
Rfam family: tRNA
About the family: Transfer RNA (tRNA) molecules are approximately 80 nucleotides in length.
Source: RNAcentral
GGCCAUUGAUCAGAGGUGAUGGUUUGUUUUGAAAGCAAAUUGAAAGUGUUCAACUCACUUAUUGGCUU